GUAUUUAAUACACGACUUCGAUGUUGGCUAUUCAACUUUCAAUUUUCAACUGCCGUUUUACUUGCAACGCGUUCGUCAGGUUCGUUCAACAGUGUCAGGGUUGUAUUGUUAAGUAAAUAUAUUCUAAGUCUUUCGUCCACUGCGGUGUUGCCGUCCUACAUACAUAUAUACACAAUUUAUGCAAUGUCAGUAAUUGCAAAGCAACCGACAAAUUUAUUGGAGUUAACUGAAAUCAUUCAAAACAAUUUAGCAAUCGUAAGAAAUUAUUUAAAAAAGAAAAAGAAUAUUGAAUACGCAACGUUGCUUUAUUCAAAGAAAAGAAAAAUUGUUAGAAAAGUGCCUAAAUGCAUAAGCUUCUUUGAGACCAUAAAAAAGAUGCCUUCUGAUAUGUUUUAUUCUCAUUUCCGUAUGGAAACUGCAACAUUUGAGCUAUUCGAGGCAAGCAGAGCGCAUCCCUUUCCUUUUGUUUUGGGUUGUGUCGACGGGACCCAUAUUCGUAUUCCACAACCUUCAACAGGCGGUAUAAGUUAUUAUAACAGAAAGGGCACAAGCUCAAUUGUUCUACAGACUGUUGCUGAUAGAGAACUGCGAUUCACAGACGCUUUUGUGGGAUACCCCGGCCGAUGCCACGAUGCUUUAGUAUGGCAGAACAGUCCACUUAAAAGGGCAAUUGUCAACAAUCAUAUUUCCUUUCCACCGGAAUGUCACCUUUUGGGUGAUGGGGCUUACCCUUUGGAAAUAUAUUUGAUGGUUCCAUAUAAGGACAAUGGAUUUUUAACACCUGCACAAAUUAUAUUCAACAAUGUUUUAGCUUCCACAAGAGUGUGUGUGGAACAAGCUUUCGGUAUUUUGAAAACCAAGUUCCGUAUUUUAAACUAUGUUGAUGUACAAAACCCCAAAGUGGCUAAACAAAUAAUAAUGUCAUGUUUGGUACUCCAUAACUUUAUAAUUAACAAAGAAAAACCUUCUGAAAUAGUGUACGAUGAAAGCGAACAUUUUCAUAUGUCCCUUAAUGCUCAACAAUAUUUGGUUGCAGCAAGUGAUAAAAGAAAUUGGUUAACUACAUUAUUUUCAGCUUGAAGAGCGCAAUAAAAACAUUUUUAUUGAAGAAAACGUGUCUUUUAUUAGGUAUUAAAAAAUAAAACAUUG
This 1149-nucleotide long non-coding RNA is filed under the name Bactrocera tryoni. RNAcentral's name for it is "uncharacterized LOC120770137, transcript variant X2". The record is from RNAcentral. Lineage: Eukaryota; Metazoa; Arthropoda; Insecta; Diptera; Tephritidae.